Molecule: long non-coding RNA, 226 nt
Filed under: Elaeis guineensis (African oil palm)
Lineage: Eukaryota; Viridiplantae; Streptophyta; Magnoliopsida; Arecales; Arecaceae
Description: long non-coding RNA (EGUI_LNC052569)
Source: RNAcentral
ACCUAUAUGCCAUACCAAUGUCUCCACACUCCUUGGUUAAGAGUGUUAGGAAUAGUGUCCCAAAGCCAAUUGUUAGCUUGUUGACGGUUGUGCUCAUUUUUGUAUAUGUACAUGAAUUAUGAAUUAAUAAAAAUUAUUUUGAUAUUUUUUAUCACAAAAUAUUUCAUCUUCUAAUGAACUCCUAUAUUGUGGUAAAGUCCUUAGGACUAUUUAGACUCGACAAAGG